AUACGUAGGCAGCAAGCGUUGUUCGGAAUUACUGGGCGUAAAGAGUAUGUAGGUGGUGUCGUAAGUUCGGUGUGAAAUCUCCCGGCUUAACUGGGAGGGUGCGCCGAAGACUGCGAUGCUGGAGUAUGGGAGAGGGAAUCGGAAUUCCUGGUGUAGCGGUGAAAUGCGUAGAUAUCAGGAGGAACACCUGUGGUGUAGACGGGUUCCUGGACCAUUACUGACACUGAGAUACGAAAGCGUGGGUAGC
RNAcentral lists this ribosomal RNA (247 nucleotides) under uncultured bacterium. Its description in RNAcentral is "partial 16S ribosomal RNA". It matches the Rfam family "Bacterial small subunit ribosomal RNA", at positions 523 to 769 of the family's 1533-position model. The record is from RNAcentral.